GGAAGUAAAAGUCGUAAAAGGUUUCCGUAGGUGAACCUGCGGAAGGAUCAUUAUUGUAUAACCGAGGUGCGAGGGCUGUCGCUGACCCGAAAGGUCGUGCACGCCCGAGUGCCCUCACACACAUCCAUCUCACCCCUAUGUGCACCACCGCGUGGGUCCCCCUUUGGCUUGUUCGGAGGGGGGCUUACGUUUUCACACAAACUUUGUAUGCAGUGUAGAAUGUAUUUUUUGUUUUUGCGAUCACGCAAUCAAUACAACUUUCAACAACGGAUCUCUUGGCUCUC
This 284-nucleotide unclassified non-coding RNA is filed under the name plant metagenome. RNAcentral describes it as "partial contains small subunit ribosomal RNA, internal transcribed spacer 1, and 5.8S ribosomal RNA". The stretch from base 1 to 53 matches the Rfam family "Eukaryotic small subunit ribosomal RNA", at positions 1778 to 1831 of the family's 1831-position model. The record is from RNAcentral.